CCGCCACUAGCUCAUCGGGAAGAGCGACAACCUUGGUGUUGUAGUACGGGGUUCGAGGCUCCGGUGGCGGACCA
RNAcentral lists this transfer RNA (74 nucleotides) under Enterobacter hormaechei. RNAcentral's name for it is "tRNA-???(tg)". Lineage: Bacteria; Pseudomonadati; Pseudomonadota; Gammaproteobacteria; Enterobacterales; Enterobacteriaceae. The record is from RNAcentral.